AGAAUUUAUGGGUGGUAGGUGGAUGCCUUGGGACGGAGAGGCGACGAAGGACGUGGCGAACCUGCGAUAAGCUCCGGGGAGGUGGUCGCAACCUAUGAUCCGGAGAUCUCCGAAUGGGGUAACCUAUUCCGACGAUAAGUCGGAAUACUCUGACGUUUAUCGUCAGAGGGCGAACCCGGGGAAGUGAAACAUCUCAGUACCCGGAGGAAAAGAAAGUAACAACGAUUCCCUUAGUAGCGGCGAGCGAACAGGGAGGAGCCCAAACUAACAGCUUCUUUUGAAGCUGUUAGGGUUGUAGGAUAGGAAGGAGGGCUUAGCCCGGAAAAAUUAACUUAGUUAGCCGAAUGAUCCUGGAAAGGACAACCAUAGAGGGUGAAAGUCCCGUAGGUUAAAACUAAGUUAAUUUUUCUGCUUCCUAUUCCUGAGUAGCUCGAGUGCAAGAAAACCUCGAGUGAAUCCGCCUGGACUAUCAGGCAAGGCUAAAUACUCCUCCGUCACCGAUAGUGCACCAGUACCGUGAGGGAAAGGUGAAAAGUAGGGAGGUGAUCCCGGUGAAAUAGAACCUGAAACCUACCACUUACAAAGAGUCGGAGCUCUAACGUAUGUUAGAGUGACGGCGUACUUUUUGCAGAACGGACCAGCGAGUUUAGUUGUUCUCCGAGUCGAAGGGCAGUUAAUCAGCCCUAAGGCGGAGCGAAAGCGAGUGCGAAUAGCGCGUUUAGGAGGACAACUAAGACCCGAAGCCGAGCGAGCUUACCAUGGGCAGGGUGAACCUCGACGAAAGUCGAGGGGAGGCCCGAACCCGUGAGUCGAGCAAUACUCUGGGAUGACCUGUGGUAAGUAGUAAAAAGCUAAUCGAGCUCGGGAAUAGCUGGUUCUCCCCGAAAUAUAUCUGAGUAUAGCCCUGGAAAUUACUUUCCGGAGGUAGAGCUCUGGAAGGUACGCUCGUGGAUUCUAUCCAGGUGUACCUACCAAACUUCGAAUGCCGGAAAGACUAUUCCAGGAGUCAGAACUAGGGCGCUAACGUCCUAGCUCGAGAGGGGUACAACCCAGACCUCCGUCUAAGGUCCCUAAAUUCAGGCUAAGUACACUCAAGGAAGUAGGAUUUCUAAGAUAACUAGGAGGUUGGCUUAGAAGCAGCCAUCCUUUAAAGAGUGCGUAACAGCUCACUAGUUGAGAAAUCCUGCACCGAAAAUACACGGGGUUUAAGCCUGAUACCGAAGACGAGGACUCCAACAUUGUGUUGGAGUGGUAGGGGAGCUUUCCUUUCGCAGUGAAGCUUAGGCGUGAGCCUAUGUGGAGCGAAAGGAAGUGAGAAUGCUGGCGUGAGUAAUCGCAACUCCGGUGAGAUCCCGGAGGGCCGGAAACCCAAGGUUUCCUCAGCAAUGGCAAUCACCUGAGGGUUAGGCGGUCCUUAGGUCAAAGCCGAAAGGUUUUGGCUGAUGGAUAGCAGGUUAAUAUUCCUGCCCCUGUAUACCUUUCUGAAGGGUGACGUAGAAAACAAGCUUAGAUGGGAUUAGUGAAUUUCCUUAGGGGUUUACUACCCCGUUUCUAAGCGAGUUUUCUACCUAGAAAAGCCCGUAGGAUUAAAGGUAUACAGACCGUACCUCAAAACCGACACAGGUGGGUUGGUGUAAGAGCACCAAGGCCAACGGGUGAAAGCUCCUGAAGGAACUCGGCAAAAAAGCAGCCGUAAGUUCGCGAUAAGGCUUGCCCAACCUCAUAAGAGCGUUGGGCCGCAGCGAAAGUUUCUCUGGCGACUGUUUAUCAAAAACACAGGUCCCUGCUUAACUCGUAAGAGGAUGUAUAGGGGCUGAGGCCUGACCAGUGCCGGAACGUUAAACCCGGGGGUCUAUACUGUUUUUCAGUAUAGGCUCACUGGGCUAAGCACCGGUAAACGUCCGCGGUAACUAUAACCGUGUUAAAGUAGCGUAAUCCCUUGCCAGGUAAGUUCUGGCCCGCAUGAAAGGCUUAACGACCGGAGAACUGUCUCCAGGAGCUGCCCGAUGAAAACACAGUGGUAGUGAAGAUGCUACCUUCCUGCAGCUAGACAGAAAGACCCUAGGAGCUUUACUGGAGGAUGGUAUUGCAUAUUGAAUCUGGAUGCGUAGCGUAGCGGGGAGGCUAUGAAGCCCACCUUUCGGGGUGGGUGGAGCCGCCAAUGAAACACCCGCCUUUCAGGUUCAAUAUGCUAACCUGAGCGAAACUCAGGGACAGUGCUAUCCGGACAGUUUAAGUGGGGCGCUUUCCUCCUAAAGAGUAACGGAGGAGUCCAAAGGUUGGCUAGACAGGGAUGGAAAUCCUGUUCGGUCCUACAAAGGGAUAAGCCAGCCUUACUGUGAGGCGGAUAUGCCGAGCAGUUGGGAAACCAGGGCUUAGUGAACCGACUCUGGUUCAUAGGACCGGAGGAGAUCAUCAGAUAAAAGUUACCCUAGGGAUAACAGGCUGGUAGGGCCCGCGAGUCCAUAUCUACGGCCCUGUUCGGCACCUCGAUGUCGGCUCACCCCAUCCUGGGGCUGGAGAAGGUCCCAAGGGUCUGGCUGUUCGCCAGUUAAAGGGGUGCGUGAGCUGGGUUCAAACCGUCGUGAGACAGGUUGGUCCCUAUCUACUGCAGGCGUUUGGAACCUUGAGGGGGGCUGUCCCUAGUACGAGAGGACCGGGAUGGGCUGACCUCUGGUGUACCAGCUGUCUCGUCAGAGGCACCGCUGGGUAGCUAAGUCAGUUUGAGAUAAGCGCUGAAAGCAUCUAAGCGCGAAGCUCGCCCCAAGAUUAGGGUUCCAUAUAGGCUGGUGCAAGACUAGCACCUUGAUAGGCCGCGGGUGUAAGGGCAGUAAUGCCUUUAGCCAAGCGGUACUAAUAGCCGAUCU
This 2867-nucleotide ribosomal RNA is filed under the name bacterium HR34. RNAcentral's name for it is "bacterial LSU rRNA". It matches the Rfam family "Bacterial large subunit ribosomal RNA". The record is from RNAcentral.